GACGAACGCUGGCGGCGUGCUUAACACAUGCAAGUCGAACGGAAAGGCCCCCUUGUGGGGUGCUCGAGUGGCGAAGGGGGGAGAAACACGUGAGUAACCUACCCUUGACUGUGGGAUAACUUCAGGAAACUGGGGCUAAUACCGGAUAGGAGCUCCUGCUGCAUGGUGGGGGUUGGAAAGUUUCGGCGGUUGGGGAUGGACUCGCGGCUUAUCAGCUUGUUGGUGGGGUAGUGGCUCACCGAGGCGUUGACGGGUAGCCGGCCUGGGAGGGUGACCGGCCACCUUGGGACUGCGAUACGGCCCAGACUGGUACGGGAGGCAGUAGUGGGGAAUCUUGCACAAUGGGGGGAAGUCUGAUGCAGCAACGCCGCGUGCGGGAUGACGGCCUUCGGGUUGUAAACCGCUUUCGCCUGUGACGAAGCGUGAGUGACGGUAAUGGGUAAAGAAGCACCGGCUAACUACGUG
RNAcentral lists this ribosomal RNA (465 nucleotides) under uncultured bacterium. Its description in RNAcentral is "partial 16S ribosomal RNA". It matches the Rfam family "Bacterial small subunit ribosomal RNA", at positions 28 to 507 of the family's 1533-position model. The record is from RNAcentral.